CCUACGGGAGGCAGCAGUGGGGAAUAUUGGACAAUGGGCGCAAGCCUGAUCCAGCCAUACCGCGUGUGUGAAGAAGGCCUUUUGGUUGUAAAGCACUUUAAGCGAGGAGGAGGCUCUUGAGGUUAAUACCCUUGAUGAGUGGACGUUACUCGCAGAAUAAGCACCGGCUAACUCUGUGCCAGCAGCCGCGGUAAUACAGAGGGUGCGAGCGUUAAUCGGAAUUACUGGGCGUAAAGCGCGCGUAGGCGGCUUGUUAAGUCGGAUGUGAAAUCCCCGGGCUCAACCUGGGCACUGCAUUCGAUACUGGCAAGCUAGAGUAUGGGAGAGGAAGGUAGAAUUCCAGGUGUAGCGGUGAAAUGCGUAGAGAUCUGGAGGAAUACCGAUGGCGAAGGCAGCCUUCUGGCCUAAUACUGACGCUGAGGUGCGAAAGCAUGGGGAGCAAACAGGAUUAGAUACCCUGGUAGUCCAUGCCGUAAACGAUGUCAACUAGCCGUUGGGGACCUUGAGUCUUUAGUGGCGCAGCUAACGCGAUAAGUUGACCGCCUGGGGAGUACGGUCGCAAGACUAAAACUACAAAGGAAAUUAGACGG
This 590-nucleotide ribosomal RNA is filed under the name uncultured bacterium. Its description in RNAcentral is "bacterial SSU rRNA". It matches the Rfam family "Bacterial small subunit ribosomal RNA", at positions 338 to 918 of the family's 1533-position model. The record is from RNAcentral.